CAAGCAUAAUUCCCAAGCUCACAGUGGCAAAGAGUGCAGAAGAAGUCAGAAGCAUCAUGGGCAAGCAGAACAUCUUCUUUAUGAAGGUGCUUUCCCAGCUCCCUUGGAUAGAAGAUAUCAAGACAGAAUAGCUGUGUUUGAUGGAGCACAGUCACGGGAUGCUGGAUCUGCUCCUGUUUCUCUAAGUGACUCUGUCCAGCCUGUUACCCAUGGACCCCAGACUGACAACAGGGGCUAUUUUUGAGACAUGCUUCUAGGGAAAAGGAUGGAGCUGGUCUUAUUCUCACCAAAAAAAAAAAAAAAGAAAGGCAGCAAGGGAAUAAAUAAUAUCUUCACUUAUUAAAGAACAUAUUUCAGGCUGGAUUUCACCCUGUCUCCAAGUAACCAUGCCUUCUGCUAAAGAACAGUUCUGAUAAAUGUCUGCAGUUUCCAUAAGCUUGCAUCUGGGAGGUAUAAACUGUGUCAGAGAUGAGCUCAAGCUGUGAUGUUCGAAGAGUCUGGCUGGGUCUGAGCUUUUGGGGCUGUGCUCAGGACCUCAGGAAGCAGAUACUGCUCAGUGGAGUGUGGGGGAGCUAGCUUUGACGCAGAAGGUUUCUGCACAAGGAGGCCCAGAUGAUGGAUUUGGACUUGAAAAAGUAACCAUAAUAUAUUUACACCAUAAUGUAUAUAAUGGGGUGUGUGUGUGUUUGCGAAGGAAUGCUGGAAGGGGGUUCGUGCAAUAAGGCAUGAUUUAUGUUGUCUGAGUAGAGGAUGUAGCCUUCUUUUAUCCCAUCUGAGGACCCGUCUGGGAAUUUCAUCAUGGUAGAAAAACAGUGAGGUGAAAAGGCAUCCUUGCUUUAGAUGAUCUAACCCUAGUCCAACUCAGUAGCAUCUGAGAGCAGGUUACCACAAGCACAGUCGUGAUGCCAGGACUUAAACAGUUUCCAUCUCCCCACAAAGACCAGCUCACAUUAUCCAGCGGAGAUGAACAAAAAUUCCAUUUGCCAUGGUGGGCUCAUUAGUUACAGGUGAAAUUUUGCUCUCCUCACUGCCUAAACCCCUUAAGGGUACUUUGGGUCCAUUCCUAGUCCCAUUAAAGCCAAUGGGAGCAGGAUUGUGCUCCAGAAGGUAUUAUUCUUAAUUUAAACAUUAAUGGCUGAAGUCUCUGUUGUUAAUAAUAAUAACCCCUUGGAAAAUUCA
Long non-coding RNA from Neopsephotus bourkii (Bourke's parrot), 1179 nucleotides. RefSeq lists it as uncharacterized. The transcript is spliced from 2 exons. The record is from RefSeq and is a predicted model, not a curated record. Lineage: Eukaryota; Metazoa; Chordata; Aves; Psittaciformes; Psittacidae.